CCAGACUCCUACGGGAGGCAGCAGUGGGGAAUAUUGCACAAUGGGCGCAAGCCUGAUGCAGCCAUGCCGCGUGUAUGAAGAAGGCCUUCGGGUUGUAAAGUACUUUCAGUCGGGAGGAAGGUGUCAAGGUUAAUAACCUUGGCAAUUGACGUUACCGACAGAAGAAGCACCGGCUAACUCCGUGCCAGCAGCCGCGGUAAUACGGAGGGUGCAAGCGUUAAUCGGAAUUACUGGGCGUAAAGCGCACGCAGGCGGUCUGUCAAGUCGGAUGUGAAAUCCCCGGGCUCAACCUGGGAAUUGCAUUCGAAACUGGCAGGCUGGAGUCUUGUAGAGGGGGGUAGAAUUCCAGGUGUAGCGGUGAAAUGCGUAGAGAUCUGGAGGAAUACCGGUGGCGAAGGCGGCCCCCUGGACAAAGACUGACGCUCAGGUGCGAAAGCGUGGGGAGCAAGCAGGAUUAGAUACCCCGGUA
This 469-nucleotide ribosomal RNA is filed under the name uncultured bacterium. Its description in RNAcentral is "bacterial SSU rRNA". It matches the Rfam family "Bacterial small subunit ribosomal RNA", at positions 331 to 792 of the family's 1533-position model. The record is from RNAcentral.